GCCACUGCUGCCUUCACAUCCUGUUCAGGAUUGUGAAAUUGCUUUUCAUAAUUUGGGUCGGGAGAAAUUAACUUGAGUGGCGCUUGAUUGCCUUAACCCUUUCUGCGAUUCAUUGGCUAAGGGAAUCUUCAUUGACAAUCCAUGAUCUUGGACCUUUCUACGUAGCGAACAACAUUGCCCCCAAGCGUUCUUAACUUGAUGAAGCAUUUCAGUAAAGGUUCAUUCUUCAUAUGAUCUGCAAUGUGUCAAGAUAUGCAGGCGUUGGUGACCCUCUCACAAGAUACCCAAAUUGUUUUUUUUUUUUGUCUUUUGUUUUUUUUCUCUUUUUUUUUUGUAUUUCUUUUUUUUGUUUUUUGUUUUUGACACACACACAACAAUGGAUAUCCAUGAGGGGGACAUUAGGGUAAUUCCUACAACAAUGUACGAUACAUGAUAUUUGCUCCUUUCAUCUUUGACACACCAUUUAAACUUUUCCUCUUUUGAGCCUGCACAGAACAGCGUUCAUUCAUUUGCCCCUUUCAUCUUUGGUUUACACUGUAGUAAUUCACCGAGGGGACAUGUAACAUUCAAGACUCCCUUACUCAUGUAAGAGAUGAAUCAUACAUACGACACCAAUAAACAACAUAGUCUUUUUCUUGUCUUUGGCUCGUAACACUAAUUAAGGGUCCAAUAAACUUUAGCUAGGACAAUCAUGAUUGUAUCCUCGGAGCAAACUUUGUAUUCCGUAAAUGCAUUCAUAGCGGCGUAGUCAACAAGAUCCCUUGUACUAGGAAAAAGCAUGACACCAUAGUCGAUAAGAGCUAGUACAUUCACGUGUUUCCCACUUUUCCUCCUCGGCCAAUCAAUGCAAGAACCACCUUGAGGAAGGUCCCUUGUUAUACCUUUAAGUAAGAAUUCACUCUCCAACUUCAUAGGGGGAACUUUUCAUUAUCCUUGCUAGCUGCAAAUCAGGUAUAUACUGCCCAAGGUGGUAUGAAGUGUUUCCCUUGAGGAAUACAUCUGAGGUCUCGUCAAAUUCUUCUAUUGUUAGCAUCAACUAGAAAUGGGUCAUAGUGUUGGGCUAAAACAAUAAUUGUUAUUAUCUGGACCUCCACCUCUGACAGGGUCAACAAAUUCCCACCCAUUCCUGAAUGCAUUUUUCAAGGUCACCUUUUACAUAUCACUCAAGAGAUAGAUACUGCCCCC
Molecule: long non-coding RNA, 1185 nt
Filed under: Vigna radiata
Lineage: Eukaryota; Viridiplantae; Streptophyta; Magnoliopsida; Fabales; Fabaceae
Description: long non-coding RNA (VRAD_LNC014210)
Source: RNAcentral